AUAGCAUAGUGGUAGUGCGUUUACUUCGUAAGUAAAAGGUCAUGAGUUCAAUCCAUAUU
This 59-nucleotide transfer RNA is filed under the name Ipomoea nil (Japanese morning glory). It matches the Rfam family "tRNA", at positions 7 to 64 of the family's 71-position model. Rfam says of the family: Transfer RNA (tRNA) molecules are approximately 80 nucleotides in length. The record is from Rfam by way of RNAcentral. Lineage: Eukaryota; Viridiplantae; Streptophyta; Magnoliopsida; Solanales; Convolvulaceae.